RNAcentral lists this ribosomal RNA (579 nucleotides) under Salmonella enterica subsp. houtenae. RNAcentral's name for it is "partial 23S ribosomal RNA". It matches the Rfam family "Bacterial large subunit ribosomal RNA", at positions 1 to 589 of the family's 2925-position model. The record is from RNAcentral. Lineage: Bacteria; Pseudomonadati; Pseudomonadota; Gammaproteobacteria; Enterobacterales; Enterobacteriaceae.
GGGUUGUGAGGUUAAGCGACCAAGCGUACACGGUGGAUGCCCUGGCAGUCAGAGGCGAUGAAGGACGUGCUAAUCUGCGAAAAGCGCCGGUAAGGUGAUAUGAACCGUUAUAACCGGCGAUGUCCGAAUGGGGAAACCCAGUGUGAUUCGUCACACUAUCAUUAACUGAAUCCAUAGGUUAAUGAGGCGAACCGGGGGAACUGAAACAUCUAAGUACCCCGAGGAAAAGAAAUCAACCGAGAUUCCCCCAGUAGCGGCGAGCGAACGGGGAGGAGCCCAGAGCCUGAAUCAGCAUGUGUGUUAGUGGAAGCGUCUGGAAAGGCGCGCGAUACAGGGUGAGAGCCCCGUACACAAAAGCGCACGUGCUGUGAGCUCGAUGAGUAGGGCGGGACACGUGGUAUCCUGUCUGAAUAUGGGGGGACCAUCCUCCAAGGCUAAAUACUCCUGACUGACCGAUAGUGAACCAGUACCGUGAGGGAAAGGCGAAAAGAACCCCGGCGAGGGGAGUGAAACAGAACCUGAAACCGUGUACGUACAAGCAGUGGGAGCCCCACCACUAAGCCAGUGGUGAACUCCACA